RNAcentral lists this ribosomal RNA (626 nucleotides) under uncultured bacterium. RNAcentral describes it as "bacterial SSU rRNA". It matches the Rfam family "Bacterial small subunit ribosomal RNA", at positions 59 to 660 of the family's 1533-position model. The record is from RNAcentral.
AAGUCGAACGAGAACGUUCCCUUCGGGGAACCAGUAAAGUGGCAUACGGGUGAGUAACACGUGGAUAACCUGCCCGGAGGUGGGGGAUAACUCCCGGAAACGGGUGCUAAUACCGCAUAACAUCUCGGAGCUUCGGCUCUCGCGAUCAAAGCUAGCCUCUACUUGUAAGCUAGCGCCACCGGAGGGGUCCGCGGCCCAUUAGCUAGUUGGUGAGGUAACGGCUCACCAAGGCUCCGAUGGGUAGCCGGCCUGAGAGGGCGACCGGCCACACUGGAACUGAGACACGGUCCAGACUCCUACGGGAGGCAGCAGUGAGGAAUAUUGCGCAAUGGGGGAAACCCUGACGCAGCGACGCCGCGUGGAGGACGAAGGCCUUCGGGUCGUAAACUCCUGUCAAGAGGGACGAAUGCUGCGAGGAUGAAUAAGCCUCGUGGGUGACGGUACCUCUGGAGGAAGCCCCGGCUAACUCCGUGCCAGCAGCCGCGGUAAUACGGAGGGGGCCAGCGUUGUUCGGAAUUAUUGGGCGUAAAGGGCGCGUAGGCGGCCGGGCAAGUCGGAGGUGAAAUCCCUCGGCUCAACCGAGGAAUUGCCCCCGAUACUGCCUGGCUUGAGUCCCGGAGAGGGUA